CUCUGUCAAGUGGGAAGAACCUGCAGUAUGCCAAUAUCAUAUUGCACUGACGGUACCACUGAAGGAAGCACCGGCUAACUCCGUGCCAGCAGCCGCGGUAAUACGGGGGGUGCAAGCGUUAUUCGGAAUCAUUGGGCGUAAAGAGCACGUAGGCGGCCUGGUAAGUCAGAUGUGAAAGCCCGGGGCUUAACCCCGGAAGUGCAUUUGAUACUGUCAGGCUUGAGUAUGGGAGAGGGAAGUGGAAUUCCUGGUGUAGAGGUGAAAUUCGUAGAUAUCAGGAGGAACACCGGUGGCGAAGGCGACUUCCUGGACCAAUACUGACGCUGAGGUGCGAAGGCGUGGGUAGCAAACAGGAUUAGAUACCCUGGUAGUCCACGCAGUAAACGUUGUUCACUAGGUGUAGCGGGUAUUGACCCCUGCUGUGCCGCAGUUAACGCAUUAAGUGAACCGCCUGGGGAGUACGGCCGCAAGGUUAAAACUCAAAGGAAUUGACGGAAUCG
RNAcentral lists this ribosomal RNA (500 nucleotides) under uncultured delta proteobacterium. RNAcentral's name for it is "bacterial SSU rRNA". It matches the Rfam family "Bacterial small subunit ribosomal RNA", at positions 431 to 921 of the family's 1533-position model. Lineage: Bacteria; Deltaproteobacteria. The record is from RNAcentral.